Esox lucius (northern pike) is the source of this 1269-nucleotide long non-coding RNA. The record is from Ensembl. NCBI's taxonomy places the organism in Eukaryota, Metazoa, Chordata, Actinopteri, Esociformes, Esocidae.
AGAUGGAUUUCGUCUAUGAUUGUACAUUAUGUUUAAUAAACAAGCCACUAAAACAACACAAAACUGCCCCUUUUUAGAAUUGGAACAUACAAUUGACAAAUGGCUGGUUGACCGGAGAACCAAUCAGCAGCCAAAUGAAAAUAAAAAAGCACAGUGCAUAAACAGGCUUGGAAAAUGUUAUAAUUUAUUCCUUCUUCGGAUGCAAACAUAUCCUAACUUUAUAGGAAAUGCAAACCAAUCCGCGUCCACGCCUAGUUUAGCCUUCUUGCUUUCCUAACAAGAAGACAAUGCAGAGACUUAGGCUAUGACAUACAUUAGAGAUGGAUGCAAAUCACUGAAGACAAUAUACAAGUUAUUGACCAGUACAAGAUAAAAUGUGGUCUUAUUUUAGGUGUCGUAAUAUUUUUUUUCUGAUGUGCUAGGAGAGCAUUAAUGGCUUAAUUAUUGUGAUUUAAACUUUACAAGUGAUACAAACUGAGAACACCACAUCUACAGUCUUCAUAAAAAAAACAUCUACAACAGUUUCAGAGGAUAUUACAAAACUUGUAAAAUACUCAAUGAGUGCAAAUUAUAUUUUCAUUACAUUGGAACAUUUCCAAACAUAAAGCUUUUCAUUGAAAAUGUAUAUUUCAACAAAGUUGUUAGUUUUUUUUACAGUUACAUUAGUUACACAUAAAACAAUCCCGUGACAGUCAUGUAAGUGCCCACGACUGAAGAUCAUGUAUACACACAUCGGAGAAAACAAACAAAACGUGUACAGCCAUUAGAAUGUGCAAGUCUGCCAAAAUCCACAAAUGAUAGGAUGUUGACCAUGGACUAAAUCUCAAGUAAGAAAAACCAAUGUCUAUGUAUUUGCCUUGUGUUUUUCUACAUUGUGUGACCUAGAUCACAUAUUCAAAUAAACCACAGAAAUAGAUGGAUGUUGGUUCAUGCUUUGGUGGGGAACAAUCACCAGCCUCAUUAUGCAUCUAUAUUCUACAGUAACUACAGGAACCUGGUUGUUCCUGCUAUGCUGGAUGUCUCAAACCAUAUCCAACACAAUCCAACUACUUUGUAGGCGGAGUCUGUUCAAGUUGACAAGGACCAUGCUCUAAAUUUAAGAGGGUAACAGGAGAGGGGAUGUUCAUGUAGGAGUUUUUUUUUUAUAUAUAUAUAUAUAUAUAUAAAUACAUAGCUCCCAUAAUAGUGUAUCUGGUGGACAAUACAUCAUGUGCUGUUCCUCAUCAUUUUCCUUUCUCAGGUCUGCAUCUGUCCAGAAGGAUCAACUCU